Molecule: unclassified non-coding RNA, 322 nt
Filed under: Hevea brasiliensis (rubber tree)
Lineage: Eukaryota; Viridiplantae; Streptophyta; Magnoliopsida; Malpighiales; Euphorbiaceae
Source: RNAcentral
CUCGGCUAUCGGCCGCCGGCACCAGAAACGAUCUUCCCGCCAGCAUCUGGCCUGGCCUGUGCUUCGCUCCGGCCAGGCCAAAUGCUGGCCGAUCACGGCCGGACUCUAACAUGAGCCGUGGUACCGCUCCGUGGGGCAGGCCAAUCUAACGCCCGUGCGCGCCGUGGUAUCCGAGCGAGGCCGAUAGUUCGGCUGCGGUAUCGGCGACGAGUUUUCCAAGUGCUCCAUUUGGUUUCGCGUCGACGCGUGUUGAGCGACCAAACACUGUCAGGGCCAUGAUCAACUUGCCGGUGAUAUCGAACACCGGUGCACUUACGGCGCC